AACGAACGCUGGCGGCAUGCCUAACACAUGCAAGUCGAACGAGACCUUCGGGUCUAGUGGCGCACGGGUGCGUAACGCGUGGGAACCUGCCCUUAGGUUCGGAAUAACUCCCCGAAAGGGGUGCUAAUACCGGAUAAUGUCUUCGGACCAAAGAUUUAUCGCCUUUGGAUGGGCCCGCGUUGGAUUAGCUAGUUGGUAGGGUAAAAGCCUACCAAGGCGACGAUCCAUAGCUGGUCUGAGAGGAUGAUCAGCCACACUGGGACUGGGACACGGCCCAGACGCCUGCGAGAGGAAGCAGUGGGGGAGAAGAGACAAUGGGGGGAGGACUGAACAAGUAGUGCGGCGGGAAGGAUGAAGGCAGUAGGGGUGGAAAGCGCUUUUACCAGGGAGGAUAAAGACAGUACCGGGAGAAUAAGCGCCGGCUAACUCCGUG
RNAcentral lists this ribosomal RNA (433 nucleotides) under uncultured bacterium. Its description in RNAcentral is "partial 16S ribosomal RNA". It matches the Rfam family "Bacterial small subunit ribosomal RNA", at positions 29 to 507 of the family's 1533-position model. The record is from RNAcentral.